GACGAACGCUGGCGGCGUGCUUAACACAUGCAAGUCGAACGGAAAGGCCCUGCUUUUGUGGGGUUCUCGAGUGGCGAACGGGUGAGUAACACGUGAGUAACCUGCCCUUGACUUUGGGAUAACUUCAGGAAACUGGGGCUAAUACCGGAUAGGAGCUCCUGCUGCAUGGUGGGGGUUGGAAAGUUUCGGCGGUUGGGGAUGGACUCGCGGGUUAUCAGCUUGUUGGUGGGGUAGGGGUUUACCCAGGGUUUGACGGGUCGGCGGCAUGGGAGGGGGAACGGGGUCAAUGCGACUACGGGACGCAGCAGUCGGGAACGGGGGGCAAUGGGGGGGAGCAUGAUACAGUGAGCCGGAGUGUGUUGAGGGAGCGUCGGGGUCGUGAAGACGGUCUUUUGGGUGUAAACCGCAGUCGCUUGAGACGAAGCGGGAGUGACGGUAAUGGGUGAAGAAGCACCGGCUAACUACGUG
This 468-nucleotide ribosomal RNA is filed under the name uncultured bacterium. RNAcentral describes it as "partial 16S ribosomal RNA". It matches the Rfam family "Bacterial small subunit ribosomal RNA", at positions 28 to 507 of the family's 1533-position model. The record is from RNAcentral.